RNAcentral lists this ribosomal RNA (463 nucleotides) under uncultured bacterium. RNAcentral describes it as "partial 16S ribosomal RNA". It matches the Rfam family "Bacterial small subunit ribosomal RNA", at positions 28 to 507 of the family's 1533-position model. The record is from RNAcentral.
GAUGAACGCUGACAGAAUGCUUAACACAUGUAAGUCUUUGGCGAAUCUGUGCUUACACAGGCUAGCUAAGGCGGACGGGUGAGUAACUCGUCAAGAACUUUCCCUGCAGACAGGGAUAACAGACCGAAACGACUGAUAACACCUGAUACAGUUGCCGUCCCGCCUGUUCCUGGCAAUGAAAACAGCUGCUGCAGGGGAGCUUUGCGUCCUAUUAGCUUGUUGUUUAGGUGACGGCUCACCAAGGCGAUGGUAGGUAGCCGGCCUUAGAGGGUGGACGGCCACGAGGGGACUGAGACACGGCGCCUACUACUACGGGAGGCAGCAGUGGGGAAUAUUGGACGAUGGGGGCAAACAUGAUCCAGCAAUUCUGUGUGCACGAAGAAGGUUUUCGGAUUGUAAAGUGCUUUCAGCAGGGAAGAAGAAAGUGACGGUACCUGCAGAAGAAGCGACGGCUAAAUACGUG